GCCGAGGUGGCGGAACCGGUAGACGCGAGGGACUUAAAAUCCCUUCCCCGUAGUGGGGGUGCGGGUUCGAGCCCCGCCCUCGGCACUA
This 88-nucleotide transfer RNA is filed under the name Dehalococcoidia bacterium. RNAcentral describes it as "tRNA-Leu". It matches the Rfam family "tRNA". Rfam says of the family: Transfer RNA (tRNA) molecules are approximately 80 nucleotides in length. Their secondary structure includes four short double-helical elements and three loops (D, anti-codon, and T loops). Further hydrogen bonds mediate the characteristic L-shaped molecular structure. tRNAs have two regions of fundamental functional importance: the anti-codon, which is responsible for specific mRNA codon recognition, and the 3' end, to which the tRNAs corresponding amino acid is attached (by aminoacyl-tRNA synthetases). tRNAs cope with the degeneracy of the genetic code in two manners: having more than one tRNA (with a specific anti-codon) for a particular amino acid; and 'wobble' base-pairing, i.e. permitting non-standard base-pairing at the 3rd anti-codon position. The record is from RNAcentral. Lineage: Bacteria; Bacillati; Chloroflexota; Dehalococcoidia.